Molecule: ribosomal RNA, 250 nt
Filed under: uncultured prokaryote
Description: partial 16S ribosomal RNA
Rfam family: Bacterial small subunit ribosomal RNA
Source: RNAcentral
UACAGAGGUGGCGAGCGUUGUUCGGAUUUACUGGGCGUAAAGGGCGCGCGGGCGGCAGCGUGUGUCGGCUGUGAAAUCUCCGGGCUCAACCCGGAAAGUGCGGCCGAAACUGCGGUGCUGGAGCAAGGGAUAGGAAAGCGGAACUCAGGGUGUAGCGGUGAAAUGCGUUGAUAUCCUGAAGAACACCGGUGGCGAAGGCGGCUUUCUGGAACUUGGCUGACGCUUAGGCGCGAAAGUAGGGGGAGCAAAC